GUUGAAUUUCUCCUCAAUAUUUCUGAUACUGGUUUUCAGUUCCAAGUUAAGUUCCGUUAUCGUCAGUAGCUGUGAACUUUAUCUUGGAGGUAUUAACUUCAAUAGAAUUAUGCCGCUCGAUAAAGGGAACAAAAUUAUCAACAAAGCGUAUUUACUCUCGUAUCUGCCUUUAUCUUACUGUAAACUAGGUAUAUGUUAACAUUUAUU
This 207-nucleotide long non-coding RNA is filed under the name Mytilus galloprovincialis (Mediterranean mussel). The record is from RNAcentral. Lineage: Eukaryota; Metazoa; Mollusca; Bivalvia; Mytilida; Mytilidae.